GGCGUGGGUGACCAGAAGUGGAUUUUUCACGCUGAAUGGUGCACUUCUGAGAGACGUUUGAAGACGCCACGCUUCUGCAGCCUGUGAGACUCUUAGCAACGAAAAUCAUCACAAAAACUUUUUUGACGCGGUUUCGGAUGGACCGACGGGGUUCCCCAACCCCAUUUUGGUUUAAUCCGUCAGUGCAAAAGUUAACAGAAACUGACUCCGGUUGCAUUUUCUAAAAAAGAAAGCAAAAGACCCUGCAAAGUUUGGGGCCCCAAAGCUACCGGGGAUGUUUGGACUUUUUUCCUCCUCCUUCAGUCUUCAGUGAGGAGCCGAGAGUGAAGAGGAGGAUGAAGAGGCACAAAUGCUGAUGUUGCUGAGUCAGCCUCAUGAUUUCAUCAUCAUGGGACGGGACCAGCGGUGGUGAACCAUGACCGUGGGCGGCAUCCAUGCAGCUGCUCUGCCUCUUUCUGGCCGCAUCCCAGCAGGGGAGCCCUCUGCCCCCGUCAUGAAAGGAAGGAAGCUGGAAUCCUGGACGUUUUAAAGAUGUCGUCUGAUGUUUAUUGGGCUGACUAUCAUCCCGUGUCUUGACGGACAGCCAAUCGGAUCCUCUAGCUGAGAAUUUCAACUGGUCUUCAGAUUUCCAUCAGGAGGACCUCCUGUGUUGGCUUGAAGCCUUUCGGAUGAAGCCUGGCCGGAUGGAUUGUCAAAAACGCACCUCCUGCGUCUGGGCCGGGCCAAAAGGGGGAUAUUCAAGCUGUGUGGUCGGUUUCGGAAAAGUAAGCCAAAACCCACAAUAGAUCUCUUAAUUCCACGACAGGAAACAGGUCAGAGGCCGUGAUGAGCAAGGCACUCUUCCUGUGCACAAUAAUCCCUGAGCACUUCAGUAUUUAAUAUGUGAUACCCAGGAGGCCAGUUGAACUAGUCGGAUGAGUGAAGCGCAUUCUCCGCAUCAGUCAACGGUGGCUCCAAACCCAGGACCGAUCCACGACCAAAGACACACAAAUGCCAUGAAACAUAUGCAACAAGGAAAUGAUGCAAUCACAUAAACUCUGCCAGAGCCAAACCAAGUACAGUGGAACCUUGGUUAGCGUCAUUAAUUCAUUCCAGAAGGUCUGAUUCUCAACAAAACAGACACUAACCAAUUUUUCCCCUUUAAAAAAUAAUGUAAAUCCAACUAAUCCAUUCCUAAUGUUAAUGCAGAACAUGUUUUUAUAGUUGUUUACAUGCAGAUAACAAUUUGAAAUGCGUAUAAAUACCUAAAAAAUACUGGACUGGACUGAUUCUUGACGACGGUUCUGAAAGACCACCACCACUUUCCUGUUUUGACAUGAGUUGUUUCUUUAAUAGUUUCUCACCUCAACACCGUAACAAAAAGGUACCAAAACCAGUUUAAAGUACCAGGAUUUUGACAAAGAAGGUAAACAUUAUUGAACUUAAGAAAUAGCUCAUGACAAAACAGGAAGAUGGUGUCUGUGUGGUGUCUGGCUGCCACAUCAUCUUUGGGAACAGUAGUCUUCAAUGAAAAGUAACCUUAAAUGUUCAUUUAAACAUCUAAUUUGUGCAUUUAUAAUUGCUUUAUGAAUAUAAAACUUUAUUAUACAACUAUAAAAAAAAAAAAUUGACAUUUUUGAGAACCAACCACUGAUGUCGUAACGUCCAUUUUGUUCACUAGCUAAUAGCAUGCUAACAAGGAAGGAUGUUUUCUGGUUAAUACUCAAACAGUAAGCGUAACAACACGACGAGAUGCACGGCAUAUUGUACGCAACAGCAUUGACCAGCAUACGUUGUGUUUUCGAGCUGGUACGCUGGUCUGUAGACCAGCUACCAACAUAUGUUGUGUUUUGGUGCUGGUAUGCUGGUCCUCCCGACCAGCGGGUGUGUACGCUAAGACUUUCGACUGUAUAAAAAAAAAUUGCUGCCAAUGCCAAAAACACACUCAAAGCCCAAAAACCACUUCACGCAACAAAACAGAAAUUGGUGCAUGUGAGGGAGGGAGUAUAAUUUGCACGGGACACGCUCUUGAAACUGAACCUGUUUACUCUUGUAGUGCAGCUGGCUAAAUUGUCCAUAUAAUUUCAUUAAGUUGUCAACAAACGACUAUUUUACCCUAAUUUGUGCUCUUGCCUCUUCUAGUUUACAUUCUCAUGCCCACCGCUGACCAACUGCAGGAGAAAGCAGUGUCACGUGGCUUGCCAUGAUGUGUUCAGGUACACUUGCAAUUUUGACCGUUUUGAACAAAAACGGCAUUAAACUAAUUCCAAAAAGUAACAUGCAGUUUAUGAUUAUUGCUUAUGCAUCUUAACAGAGCUGCAAGCCUCAUUUGAUUGCAGUGUGCACGCCGCAACGACAAAAGUAUUUUAUUGUAUAAUGAAGGUGAUUAGAAAAUCCUAUAAGCACGUCUUAUGACACCUGGCAAGAGAACAGGGAACAAGGCGCCACCUUCCUCUUUUUUUCUCUGCCUACUCAUUGUUCUUACAGCGUGGACAAACACACGUGCACACUUUCGGAAUCAUUCUGUACCUAAAUACUGGAUGCUUGCCACUAAGGCUCACACACACACAUCACACCUUCUUCUCGUUCUGACUUCCCCAGUCAUGUGAACAAGUGUUGAGUCACGGUCGCGACUUAUCACGCUAUCGCACUCUUCUCCAGCCUCCCCGUCGGCUUCCUCUGCAGCUUUAAUCUUUGUGCCGAGGGCCGAGUCAUUGUGAGUUUUUGCAUGACUCGCAUGAACAAUCUGAUCACCGCCUAAGUAUUAUUACUGCAGAUGUCUGAGAGUUGCUACUUUAGGUCGUUAAAAUCCAGUUUUAUGCGCCGGGUUAUGGACACGCAGCAUGUGUGGAGAGCCAGGGGGCGAACCAAUGCAGUCAUUUGCUCACAGUAAAGCUGGAGAAGCGGCUGAAGCCUGUUAAUGAUGGGCUUUGGGGCAACGUGAAGCUUUGCAACAUCGACCAAAUAAAAAAAAAACAAAGCAAGGAGUUCAUCUUCAUUACGGUCUUGUCACGCCGUGUUGUAGCUACUGGCUGUCGUCCAAGUAGCUGGAAGUCACUACCCCAUUAUCUCAUUUGCAUAAUUGGCAAUUUGCAGUGUGAAAAGCAAACACCUUCUCCUAUUUACGUUAAAAGUGACUAACAAAGUUCCAUUGUGCAAUCCCGACCACGUAAGCUAACACGUCAAGAGUUGUGAUUCUCCAUAAAACACCGCCCCUAGUGUUAAGGCAGAGAAUUGCACUUCAACCACCUUGACAAGCCUAAAAAGAGUGACGAACUUGGCAACACUGCUACCGUGAUGCGAUUCAUUGGAGCUGAAGCCAAACGUCAGCUCUCUGAGGGAGGAAGAAGCGGCGAAGCUGAGGAUGAUGCAACAAGCUGAAAUAACGCCCAGGAAACCAUUAAAUUGCCUUUUAAAUAGCUUUAAACAUGUAGCAUGAUGCGGAAACUCGUACUAAAAUUCAUUUAAUAUUCAUUAGCACAACAAAAUGAAUGAUAGAUAAGUUAACAUUUUCAUGGACUGUUGCUGUUAUGAUUCCUUAAGAUAUGGAACAGCACGUAGUAAUGCUACAUUAGCAUUAGUAACAAAAUGGCGGCCUGGCUACUUUAGCUAGCAAGGGGCAGCAGCGUAAGCAAGGAAGCUCUCUCUCUCCUCUGACCAGAUCCCCGAGCCAUCUUAGCUAAUUUCUUUUUUUGUUUAAAGUUAAGGUAGUUACAGCUUUUCGUGAGGGUUACGACCCAUAAAAAUAUACAUUUUUUUGACACAUCUCGAUCCCCCAACGCAGCUGCUAGCUGGACGUUGACGUUCUGGGUCGUUAGCUAGCUCACUAAAAUGUUGUUGUAGCUGUGAAGUUUUACAAUGGCUCAUGUUGACUAUAUGAUAUUUUUAGUUCUAAUACAUUUUUUUAUCAUAAACCUUUUUGUGUUUUCUUCACUUGGACAGUGCUCCUGCCAACCAGCCCUGUCCUUUCUCUGCUUCGUGUGGCAUAAUGAGCGUGACUGGCAAUAUUUAUUUUUAGUAAUAUUCGUAUUUGUGUAAGCCAGGUUGUCAAACUCCACGUAAAGCCUGCAGCUAGUGUUGACAACGUGUAAUAUGUGUCGUUAUUGAUUUUAGUCAUUGUUUGUUUUGCCUGACGUUACGUUUUUAGUUUUAGCUUUAUCAGAGCUGUGUUGUUGACACGCUGACAGGUCACCUUGUUGCUGUUGACAGGCCUUCCAAACGCUACGGCGUCAGACUGACAGGUUAGCGGAAGAAAGGCGUGUGUUUAUUUGUGUGGCCUUUUAAUGAAAUCUGGUUGCGGUAUCUGAAGUUAAUUACAAGUUAAGAGGGUUUCAAAGGUUCCAGACAGUGGAUGGAAACACUCAUCAAGCAAGUUUGUUAUCCCCGAUCCAUUUUUCAUCUGAUUAAUAAGAAUGGUGUAGGGUUGUGUUUUUCCUGAGCCUUUGGUCAGCUGCUGAACGCCCUAUUUUACUCUAAUAGUCGUACACAAAUCAAUUACUCCAGCAUUUUUUUGGGCCACUCUCAUUUCUUCUUUUUGGAGAUCCUACAGUCCAAAAUGCUAAUUCUUCACUACUUCUGCAAUUUCAAAACAUUUUGAUCAGGAGUGUAUGCUAUUCAUUGUGUUCAAUAAAUAACAUUAAUUUCAUCAACUUGCACACACUGUGCAUAUCUUUAUUUUACACAUAGCUCGGUGCUUGCUACAUGUUUUCAGCAAAGUGAGCAAUCUUGUUAAUCUACCGUCUUUGCUCACGGCCCACUUACCCUCAGGAUAUAGUUGUUGUAGUCAUCUCCGAUGUGUUGAAGCGCUCGUGCGAUUUCCACGGCCUGCAUGGCCUCCGCUGCGUCUUGUAGCCUCGUACUAGAAAGCCCGGAAGAACUUUCUGAAACAGGCAGGAAAAGGAAAACGCUUAAUUCUCGAUAAAAUGAUCAGAAAAAUUAGUUCCUAAGAAAGUCCUGACAUGGAGAAGAUAUUCACUAACGCCAUUCAUCAAAGUAAAGAAGGGAGGCGGCAAGGGCAGACAGUCCCGGCCAGUAAUUACACAACUGGGGUGGAGCGUCUCCAGUGGAGGACGUCUCCGCGUGCAGUCAGGUUUCUUCUGGUUUGAAGGAGCAAAAUAAAUCAAAAUAAGCGACGGAAACAGUCUGCUGAUGCAUCUUCCUGCCACAGGAGGAGGAAGUUGUCGCCAUGGGAGCCGUGAAAGGAGCCUAACCGGUCACAGAUGAUCUCGAUGACGGAGACAGGCCGACGACUAGCUAGUGUGUGUCUGUGUGUGUCUGUGUGUGUUUAUCUCCCCUGUCAGUGCUAUCUGAUGAGCAUUGAAUAGCUUGUGUCUGCGCCUCACAAAAGGCCGGCACCACUGUUUUGACUGCAACACAUGCAUGCUAAAGUCCAUCUGGAUCAGCAUACUUAAUGAACAACCGUGUUUUGACUCCUGAAAAUGACACACACAUAAUCAUUGUUAAUCAUUGCCAGAAUAAAAAAAAAAUCCAGAUUUGACUGUAGUGUUGUGACGGGUUCCAUACUUGCUUAGAUAAACCUGCAUAAUCUUAACAGAUCCAAUACAAGCGCUUUUAUCAACAAUUCUGCUCUUACAAAGAUAACAAGAAUGGCUUCCCAAGACCAAACAAUACCAGAAGAUAGCGUUACGUGCAUCCCUGUUAGCUUUUGCGGCUAGUCGAGCAUCAUGAGAUGUUAAGUCAAACGUACCAGAAUAGCAACAAACAGCUCAGAAGGCAUUUUUGUGUUAAAAUGUCAUGUAAACAGUAUUGUAUUGUUCCAAUCCAAUCCUAUUAGGUGCCAUGGACUGCCAAAUCAAUGAUGGAAAGGAUAUGCGGCCAGCGAAGUACCAUAGAUGUAACUUAAAUGUAAAAAAAACGCUGUGCCACUCCAGUCCUAUAGGGGGCAGUAAUUAAUAAUUAGAAGCCAAAACUGAAUCUCUUCUACUCCAGUCCAAUCGUUUUCUUUCUCUUUGGGCUUUUCCCUUCAGGGGUCGCCACAGCAAAUCAAUCUCCUCCAUCCAACCCUGUCUUCUGCAUCCGUCUCUCUCACACAAACUACCCUCAUGUCCACCUAAACCUCCUCUUUGGUCUUCCUCCACGCCUCCUACCUGGCAGCUCUAAACGUAGCAUCCUUCUACCAAUAUAUUCACUAGCUCUCCUCUGGACAUGUUCGAACCAUCUCAGUCUGGCCUCUCUGACUUUAUCUCAGAGGUCUCUAACAUGUAAUGUCCCUCUGAUGUACUUGUUCCUGAUCCUAUCCAUCCUGGUCCUGGUCAGAACCUCAGCAUCUUCAUCUCUUCUACCUCCAGUUCUGCUUCCUGUCUUUUCCACAGUGGCACCGUCUCUAGACCAAACAUGUCUGGUCCCGCCACAGUUUUGUAUACCUUUUCUUUCAUUUUAGCUGAAACUCAGGCAUCAGGCCUGACACUUUUCUCCACCCGUUCCAUCCUGCCUGCACACGCUUCUUCACCUCCUUUUCACAAUCAUUGUUCAAACCAUUGUUCUGAACUGUUGACCUCAAGUACUUAAAAUUCUCCACCUUCUGUAUCUCUUCUCCCUGGAACCUCACUCUUCCACUUGGGUCCCUCUCAUUCACACACAUGUAUUCAGUCUUGCUGCCAACCCUCCCCGUCCUUUCUUGGCUGCAUAGACCAUAAAGAAGCAAAGUGAGCCUGAGUGGCACAUUUUAUUAAUGGGGAUUUCCAAAUCUGCCUAGCAACAAUUGUACUAUGUGAACCAUCUGAGCAAUUCUUUUAUCCUGCAGUGAUGCUGCCAGCUAUAAUUCACUUUCACUUCCACUUUCACAGUCAAUCACUGUGGACAACUUUGCAUUUUGACCGUGGUGUCAUACGUUCUCACAGUUGGUUGGUAGAGUUCCACCGUGUCUCUGCCGACUCUCCUGAUCAUUUCUCUGCUGUGUGGGGCAGUUUCACCUUCACAAAUAGUAACAAGUGGCCAAACAACGUUACUGUACAAACAAUGCCAGCAAUUAUCUAUAAUUACACUGACACUACACCUGCCUGUUUUGCACUUUUAGAACAUUAGACUGUCCAGACUACUUUUGGGUAAGCUGUUGUGACUCGUGUAGUUUCAAAUUUUACAGUAAAUACCUUGUCUGUGUUAUUAUGCUACAAGUAAUUAAAUCACAUACCCCCAUUUUGCAAUUUUUUACAUUUUUGGAGUUCAUGUAAAUCAAUUUUCACUUGGUUGCAGUGAUUCUGACAGCUUCUGAGUGGGGGGGGGGCUCACCUUGGACCUCGGCUACGCGCAGCAGGGCGUGCUGUAGCACCUGUGCGGAUGGGCUGGGGGUCUGCGUAGCCCGGGUAGCCGUGGGGGCCCGCGGGGAGAGCGGCGAGGUGGGGAGCGAGUCCCCCUCUGAGAAGUAUCCGCUGGAGGAACGCCGGCACGGGAAGUGGAAUGUAGAUCUAGUCUCGAACACGCCGCGGCGCUCCGGAGGCAGGGGGGCGACGCAGCUCCUGCGGCGAGACGGCGACCGCGGCGUGCCCCCUCGGUGUGCUCCUCCUCCGCCUCCUUCUUCCUCUUCGGCGACGGGCCAGCAGAAGCCGGAACCCUGCUCUCUGCGGCUCUCGGUCAACUCCGGACCGGGACGUCCUGCACUCGGCUCUGUGGUCACUGCGGUCCCAUGGGCUCUGUUGGGGGGGGAACACGACACUUUAGUCGCCCUGUUGACGCUGCGGCUUUUCCCGCUGCAGCUGCGGCGUGCCCGUGCCCUCAAUCGGAUUAUUUUCACCGCCGAAUGGAACCUAAUCGUAUUCACUGCAGCAGGUUGAAAUUCCGUUUCAUAAUCUUCUCCCUAUCUUAAACGACACAAAUGCCCAGUCAGAAAAGGGCAGUUUUUGGUGGAAAUUCCGGAUAGUCACGCGAAGGCGAAGGGAAGCAACUUUAAACUGCGUCACAUGCCGUGUCAAUCACUCUUUAUAAUGUCUUUUUGUCAUUUAUUACAGCAGGUGUACUUUAAUUUUGACAUUUAUGAUCAACCCUCACGGUGAAAGCGGUGGACUUUCUCACUUGGAGUAAUAUUAUAUUUAAAAACACGAUAUAUACAGGAUAAAAAUGCAUCUCUUCCUGUUUGUCCAGACUGAAGUGACUUCCUCGGCUGACUCACCGCCACAAAUAAUGACUCCCUGCGUGCCAAAAUGGCCGGACAUUAUCAGAUUAUUAUUACUGACUCGUUAAGCACUAACUUUGCCCUGCUGCACGUUUGUGUAAAAAUACACAAACGUGUUUUAAUGACUAUUUUUUUACAUUAAAUGGCAUUUAUUAUUAUUAUUGGCAUUUAUUGUGGUGUUGUAUUAUUGUCCUAGACCAGGGGUCGGCAACCUUUCCUAUGAAAAGAGCCAUUUCACCCACUUGCCCACUAAAGAAAAAUAGCCUGGAGCCGCAAAACGUUGUAUGUUUAAAACAACAUUGGAGGGGAAAAAAAAGACGAGUUGGAGUACUCUUGCUAGUACUGGAGAUAAACUUUUGUUUUUAAAUGAGCUCUAAUUUAUUUUUUAGAAUCGUCAAAUAACUCAUUAAUAAUAAUUAAUAACUCAAAUAACUCAAAGUAUUACUCAUUUCCCUUCAUGUUAACCUGUCAGAGAGAACUGGAUAGCAUCCUGUCUGCUCAUUCAGUCACCAGUCAGAACUCAGUCAGGAUGCAUUCAUGGUCUCACACAAAGUUGGAUUUUUGUAAACUCAUAACAAAGACGUGCAUUUUCACCACACGGGUGCUAAAAAAUAUUCAAGCAUUGCAAAGGGAGCCGCAACAAAGAGGCUGGAGAGCCACAUGCGGCUCUGGAGCCGCGGGUUGCUGACCCCUGUCCUAGACCAAGACUGUCUUGCCGAAUUGCAGCCAAGUGAGCUCUUUGCGCCCCCAGCAGGACAUUGCAAAUAUUGCAGCUGUUCCCUCGGCUUCACUCCAAAACCGGCGUCUACCGGCUCCCGUCUCUGGCUUUUGUGUCAUAUCUUGACUUUACCAGGCCGUGGAGACGCACCAAAACAUGCAGGUGAACCAGUCUGCUCCAAUUUGUGACGUCACCCAACAACCUAAGACGGGGUCAACGAACUCGGUGACCUCAAAAAGAAGAAGCAGCCUUUUAAAUUGUCUUUUUUUAAUUUAUACGUAAUUAACUGAAUUGAUUGUUUGAUUAAUACGUAAAUAAAUGCGCAUUUUUGAUCCAGUCGCACCAAAAACGAGCAAUAGUGCUUAAUAUAUUGAAAAAUAUUCGUCUUAAUUGAGUUGGGAAGUAAACUUGGCGCGCCUGCAUUGCGGCAUGACAGCUGACGGACCGGCUAGCUAAACAUAAUAAAGUUAUAUUUAUACAUAAAUGUAUCCAUAAGGACGCCAUCAACCGAAGGACUUACCUGGACGUGCUGUGCAUGUCAGCGGUGACACAUGACUGCGCGACAAGCUGCGUAAACACCCAAUGUGAGGACAAUUAAAUGUUUUAAAGAACAAUACAAAGUCCACAAAAGGACCGUUUUCAAUUCCAAUGUGGGUGACAACUCCAAAAGCAGUAAAUCCCAAAAGUUAUCAACUAAUCCAGAGUGUCAGGGGACGUAAACAAAGUCCAAGCAGCGUCUCUUUUGUCUCCGAUAGUUCCUAUCUCCUUUCCUUGACCGCACAACUCCUUUACUGCUAGCUUGCUGUCUGCUCUGUGCUGCGGGAGAUCUUCUGAGGUCUUCUUUUAAAAGUGGACGCUCCUCCCCCCCCGCAGAACAACAGCCCACUCCUGGAGCACUAUCUCUCUCUCUCUCUCUCUCUCUGGCGCGCACGCUCUCAUUUUGGCUUCUCUGUCUCCCCCUAGCAGCAUAAAGUGUCAUUGCAAUACUUUUUUUCAUCCCACUUCCGGGUUUGUUAUACUGUACUUUCAUGAAUGGCUUUAAUAGAUAUUUAAUGCUUUCUUAAUACAGUACAUUUAUAGUCUUUUUAAUGUAUUGUAAAUUACAAUACUGGACAAUAGGCCACAAGUUGGCAACUUUUUCCAAUAAUAUAACAUAAUGUAUUACAAAUGGUUCGAAUUUUGCUGUUUCACUUAUCACAAUUUUUCAUAAAUACACAAAUUAAUAAAUGCGUGCAUUUGAGUAAUUUCAAGAAUAAAAAAAUAGCUAAAUGAACUAAAAUACAAACACAAGACACACUAGCAUCAAACUUGGUCACCGCAACAACAAGCUUUUCUUGCAGGUUUGAAUGAUCUCGCAACAGGCACAAUAAUAACAUAAUUAUCAUAAUGACAAUAUGGGCUACUGUAGCAGCUGUAAUCCACAGGAGCACAUUUAUGUCUUAAAUGGCUUAAUUUCCCUGAUUAUAUCGACUAUAUUGGGUAAUAUGCAUGUAAAGGUGACUAUAGGGAUGUUAUGUCAUGUCUAGGGGGCUCUAAUAAUUAUAGAACUGCAUUGAGAAGAUCAUAAACAGGUUUCCUUUGCCAUAACUACACAAAUAUUACAUUUCUACAUUUCUAAGGAAGGAAUCCUACUUUGGAGAAAUUCACUUAUCAUGGAAACAAUGAAUUGCAGUCAACCGUAGGUAUUUUCUUAAGGUUACGUCAUCAAUAUGUACUGACAAUUUGUGCAAGAUGUUGUUUGUUUAUUUCACAGUAAAAAUAAGUAAAUUAGCCGCGAUUUGCAAGGUCGUUCAAGAUGCCUUCCAUAGUACAAAGUACAAACUUUGCUGUACAUAUCCCAUAUUAUUAACUAGCCUGUUAUUAUUACUAUCAUUAUUAUUCUUCUGAUUAUUAAUACUACUAGUAGGCUAAUGUUAGCUAAUGUUACACUUCUUAGUAUUAAAACUUUAUGGCAUGUACAUGUACAUAUGUAUCAGGCUAGCUAUGCAUGUACUGUACUGUACUCGUGUAUCAAUCAGUCAAUCUAUGUAUGUUUAUAAGUGUAUAAAUAUAUGCACUGUAUAUAUCCAACUAUGUAUGUAUAGUCUAUGUAAGUCUCUAUUCAUGUAUCUAUGUAUGUAUGUAUGUAUUACAAUUUAUACUUGAUAUAAUGGGUUUGGUUUCCAAAGUACAUGUUAUUUCUUGUACUUGUUUACCAAUUUAUUGUAUUGCUGUACUGUCUGUUUUGUCAUUUUCAUACCAUUGCAAGGUUUUUCUUCUUUAAAACGUCUUUUCAUAAUGUU
Doryrhamphus excisus (bluestripe pipefish) is the source of this 11107-nucleotide long non-coding RNA. RefSeq lists it as uncharacterized. NCBI's taxonomy places the organism in Eukaryota, Metazoa, Chordata, Actinopteri, Syngnathiformes, Syngnathidae. The record is from RefSeq and is a predicted model, not a curated record.